GUAUUGCAGAAACUUAAGUUCUCAUUGAUAAUAACACUCGUAUAAAUACAUAUCAGAGGUGUUUGAAAAACCUACAAACUAGGAAGGUUACAACUGAAUCCUAUAAUUAUGAGUUACAGCUACAGCAAACAACGUUUGAAUCUAUUUGAAUAAUCACAAGCUGAUAAGGAUAAGGGAGAGCCAGGGGAUGAUAAGGAGGAAGGUAAUUAUCUUUGUUACAUCUCUAUUAU
RNAcentral lists this long non-coding RNA (230 nucleotides) under Populus tremula. RNAcentral's name for it is "long non-coding RNA (PTRE_LNC003329)". Lineage: Eukaryota; Viridiplantae; Streptophyta; Magnoliopsida; Malpighiales; Salicaceae. The record is from RNAcentral.